RNAcentral lists this ribosomal RNA (475 nucleotides) under uncultured bacterium. RNAcentral describes it as "SSU rRNA". It matches the Rfam family "Bacterial small subunit ribosomal RNA", at positions 26 to 518 of the family's 1533-position model. The record is from RNAcentral.
AGGACGAACGCUGGCGGCGUGCUUAACGACAUGCAAGUCGAGCGGAAAGGCCCUUCGGGGUACUCGAGCGGCGAACGGGUGAGUAACACGUGAGUAAUCUGCCCCUAGCUCUGGGAUAGCUCCGGGAAACCGGGAUUAAUACCGGAUACGACCACUUUAGACAUCUGUUGUGGUGGAAAGAAUUUUGGCUAGGGAUGAGCUCGCGGCCUAUCAGCUUGUUGGUGGGGUAACGGCCUACCAAGGCGACGACGGGUAGCCGGCCUGAGAGGGCGACCGGCCACACUGGGACUGAGACACGGCCCAGACUCCUACGGGAGGCAGCAGUGGGGAAUAUUGCGCAAUGGGCGAAAGCCUGACGCAGCGACGCCGCGUGGGGGAUGAAGGCCUUCGGGUUGUAAACCCCUUUCAGCAGGGACGAAGCGAAAGUGACGGUACCUGCAGAAGAAGCGCCGGCUAACUACGUGCCAGCAGCCGC